AUCCGUACUUGGAAUAAACCACUCUGGGUUGUACACCAGAGCACGACUUUCUCCUCUAUCUUUUACUUACUAUGGGCGCUGCUUAGCAGAUGGGAACUAUACAGUAAAAAUUCACUUUGCAGAGAUAAUUAUCAGAGGCAAUAAAUCCUUUCAUAGCCUUGGCAGACAGAUUUUUAAUGUUUAUAUUCAGGGAAAGUUGGAAUAGGAGGAUUUUGAUAUUGUACAAGCAGCACAAGGGGUUGAAAAGGUAGUUGUAAAAGAAUUUAAAGCAGUUGUGAAAAAUAAAACUUUAGAGGUCCGCUUUCAUUGGGCUGGCAAGGGGACAACAGCUAUACCAAGCAGAGGAACUUAUGGUCCUCUCAUAUCAGCUAUUUCUGUGGAAUCUUGUUUUAAUGCAUGACUUCAUUAUAAGAUAUAAUGUCAUGGCACCUACGCUUGGACUAGUCUCUUAUUUACCCAUAUUGGAGACAUACUUCAUUAAUAACCUAGCAAGGUAUUAAGUUGUUCUUGCAUUACCUCAUUUGCAAUUUAUUUUUUUAAUAAUUGGUGUAUUUUUUUCACGCUAACGAAAACCAUAGUAAGGAGGUUGCAACUGGAACUCAAGUCUCGCAUUGAGGAGUUUGAGAAGCUUGACAAAUUCCAUAUGGAACAAAUGGAAGAAGAGGUUACCGCAAGAAAUGCCCACAUACAUCAACAAAAAGUUGGUAGCUUGGAAUGUUUCAUGGUAGCUAAGAGCAGUGCAGAAGAAUUUUCAAAAACUGACAUUGUUGAAGCAUGGACACAUUGAAGAGACAUCUUCCUAUUUCUGGACCAGAGGGACUUAAUGAGCUAAGGAAAAUUGUUGAAAGGUUUGAGGAAAAGAUUUAUUCUACUGCCACAAGCCAGAUGUUGACAAUGGAAACAAAAUCUUUUAAUGCUACAACCAAUUCUCUACCAUCCAACUCUGCUGGUCACAACAAAAAAUCCCCUAAUGACAAGAAAUGCCCUGCUAGGAAAAAGGCCCUCAGAUCCAGGUAACAACAUGAAGAAGUAAUGUGUUUUUUUUUAUGAAAUGCAACAAUCAAAAUUUUGCUUCUAUGAAUUGCAACAGUGGAAA
Molecule: RNA transcript, 1096 nt
Organism: Vitis riparia (riverbank grape)
Lineage: Eukaryota; Viridiplantae; Streptophyta; Magnoliopsida; Vitales; Vitaceae
Gene name: mediator of RNA polymerase II transcription subunit 15a-like
Exons: 5
Source: RefSeq, a predicted model, not a curated record